GCCGGAGUGGUGGAAUAGGUAGACACAAGGGACUUAAAAUCCCUCGGGAUUAAUCCUGUACCGGUUCAAGUCCGGUCUCUGGUACCA
This 87-nucleotide transfer RNA is filed under the name Candidatus Cloacimonadota bacterium. Its description in RNAcentral is "tRNA-Leu". It matches the Rfam family "tRNA". Rfam says of the family: Transfer RNA (tRNA) molecules are approximately 80 nucleotides in length. Their secondary structure includes four short double-helical elements and three loops (D, anti-codon, and T loops). Further hydrogen bonds mediate the characteristic L-shaped molecular structure. tRNAs have two regions of fundamental functional importance: the anti-codon, which is responsible for specific mRNA codon recognition, and the 3' end, to which the tRNAs corresponding amino acid is attached (by aminoacyl-tRNA synthetases). tRNAs cope with the degeneracy of the genetic code in two manners: having more than one tRNA (with a specific anti-codon) for a particular amino acid; and 'wobble' base-pairing, i.e. permitting non-standard base-pairing at the 3rd anti-codon position. Lineage: Bacteria; Pseudomonadati; Candidatus Cloacimonadota. The record is from RNAcentral. RNAcentral also lists the same sequence under 1 other name.